UUAAGCCAAUUUUGUAUGCAGUUGGAACAGCGCCCCUAGCGGCAAACGUAGGCAAACGUUCCAACUCCAUACAAAUUUGAGUUA
This 84-nucleotide microRNA precursor is filed under the name Bombyx mori (domestic silkworm). RNAcentral's name for it is "mir-2807 microRNA precursor family". It matches the Rfam family "mir-2807 microRNA precursor family". The record is from Rfam by way of RNAcentral. Lineage: Eukaryota; Metazoa; Arthropoda; Insecta; Lepidoptera; Bombycidae.